CAGGAAUCCACAUGAAUUGAUUAGGAAGUAUGGCCUUAUGUGCUGCAGGCAGUGCUUUCGCAGCAAUGCCAAGGAAAUUGGCUUCAUUAAGUAUCGCUAAAAGAGCUGAUGUCUCCACUCAAUCAAUUUUAUGUUCUGGCACUAGGAUGUUUUAAGGAAGUUAUGUUUGAAGAAACUUGAGACUUGGUUUUUUGUAUCUAAUUAAUUAUCAAACAUUAUUUGUUGAAUGAAAUAUACUUUUAUAUAAAUGGUUUUGGACUACUAGGUCCUCCA
Molecule: long non-coding RNA, 273 nt
Organism: Cajanus cajan (pigeon pea)
Lineage: Eukaryota; Viridiplantae; Streptophyta; Magnoliopsida; Fabales; Fabaceae
Source: RefSeq, a predicted model, not a curated record